CUCCAUCUGUUUUAAGGUUUAAGGGUGGUGGCACAGCUAAGACCCAAGAGUCUCUUUCAAGACACUGAAUUUGAGCAGAAACCAUAAGGAUACUCAAAGGACCUGUGACUCUCAGGAAAUGCAUCAAAUGAGAGAGACAGAUGAAACAGUUUCAAGACAAUGGCAGGAAAAAAAUGCUGAAGAUUGAAACAAACCUUGGCUGGAAAUAUUUGAAGGUAUCUAGCCAGUCCACAAUGAAAGCUUCGUUGCACCCAAUGAGUCUUCUGGCAGAAAUGAUGGCGGCUGUAUUCUUUGG
Molecule: long non-coding RNA, 295 nt
Organism: Maylandia zebra (zebra mbuna)
Lineage: Eukaryota; Metazoa; Chordata; Actinopteri; Cichliformes; Cichlidae
Source: RefSeq, a predicted model, not a curated record